Cornus florida is the source of this 943-nucleotide long non-coding RNA. RefSeq lists it as uncharacterized. The transcript has 4 exons. Lineage: Eukaryota; Viridiplantae; Streptophyta; Magnoliopsida; Cornales; Cornaceae. The record is from RefSeq and is a predicted model, not a curated record.
CUAUCUCUCUAUGUCUCACGCCGAGGCACCACCACCAUCAACCCACAUCCUCACACCAUCACCAAGCCCUCGCUCUCUGUUCGAACCCCACUGCCGCAAGCUUCUCCAGCCGAACCUCUUGGCCGCCGCUGCUGCUCUCUCCUCUCUUCUCGGUCUCGCUUUCUCUGGCCGAUUCUCGGUCAAGGAGAAACCACAUCUCGCCACCGGCCACCACAUUUCCAGUUCCGGUCGUCUUCUCCAGCCAAAAAUUUCAAGCCGAGUCUCUCUCUCUCGUUUUUCUCAUUUUUCUCUCGGGAAUUAACAGAUGAUGUGAACAAUGAAGCAUCAUUUCAUGAUGACAAAUUCCUUUCAAAGAAUGGGUAACCCAGAGAAUUCUUCUUAUCCAGCAAUGCUAAUGCUGUAGUUGAACACACAAAAAAGGUUUUGGUAAUUUAGGAUGGUGAAGUUGUUCAUCUUAAGGGGAAGGAGGCACUGGUGGAUCACUUUGAGAAGUCAACGUUUCGGUGUGAUACGAAUGAGUUCCUGCUUGUGUGUUUCAGCCCAGCAAGAGAUGGUUCUGGUGGAGGUUUGAUAUCUGGGGUUACAUUGGCUGCCAAGUUUAUCAACCCUGCUAUUCGAGUUUUGGCUGCUGAAUCAAUGGGAGCACCUACUUGCUUGGAUUUUGUACUGUGGAAAAUGAGGUGGUGUUUUUGAAAAGUGUAGAUUGAAACUUAAUUGUUAGGAAAUUGAUUAUUUAUUUAUUUUUUUUUUGCAGAUGAAUUUACUUCCUAUUUUGGCACAUUGAUCAAUCAUGAAUUCUUGAAUUGUAAAAAUAUUUUAAGUCUUUUGAUAUGUUUAAUGUGGAAUUUCAAGAUAUUUUUUUGGUUAUGGUUAUUGACAUUAACAUAUAGAAUUGAAACUAUGAAUGUGUUGAUAUAUUUUUGAAUUAAAUGAUAGUUGAAAA